AACGAACGCUGGCGGCAUGCCUAACACAUGCAAGUCGAACGAGACCUUCGGGUCUAGUGGCGCACGGGUGCGUAACGCGUGGGAACCUGCCCUUAGGUUCGGAAUAACUCCCCGAAAGGGGUGCUAAUACCGGAUAAUGUCUUCGGACCAAAGAUUUAUCGCCUUUGGAUGGGCCCGCGUUGGAUUAGCUAGUUGGUAGGGUAAAAGCCUACCAAGGCGACGAUCCAUAGCUGGUCUGAGAGGAUGAUCAGCCACACUGGGACUGAGACACGGCCCAGAAUCCUACGGGAGGCAGCAGUGGGGAAUAUUGGACAAUGGGCGAAAGCAUGAUCCAGCAAUGCCGCGUGAGUGAUGAAGGCCGUAGGGUUGUAAAGCUCUUUUACCCGGGAUGAUAAUGACAGUACCGGGAGAAUAAGCCCCGGCUAACUCCGUG
Molecule: ribosomal RNA, 433 nt
Filed under: uncultured bacterium
Lineage: Bacteria
Description: partial 16S ribosomal RNA
Rfam family: Bacterial small subunit ribosomal RNA
Source: RNAcentral